UACGUAGGGUGCAGGCGGUAAUCGGAAUUACUGGGCGUAAAGCGUGCGCAGGCGGUCUGCUAAGACAGGUGUGAAAUCCCCGAGCUCAACUUGGGAAUUGCGCUUGUUACUGGCAGGCUAGAGUGUGGCAGAGGGGGGUGGAAUUCCACGUGUAGCAGUGAAAUGCGUAGAUAUAUGGAGGAACACCGAUGGCGAAGGCAGCCCCCUGGGUUAACACUGACGCUCAGGCACGAAAGCGUGGGGAGCAAACAGG
This 253-nucleotide ribosomal RNA is filed under the name uncultured bacterium. RNAcentral describes it as "partial 16S ribosomal RNA". It matches the Rfam family "Bacterial small subunit ribosomal RNA", at positions 524 to 776 of the family's 1533-position model. The record is from RNAcentral.